This is an RNA transcript of Epinephelus fuscoguttatus (brown-marbled grouper), 3866 nucleotides long. It is a transcript of the gene named E3 ubiquitin-protein ligase RNF38-like, with no coding region annotated. The record is from RefSeq and is a predicted model, not a curated record. NCBI's taxonomy places the organism in Eukaryota, Metazoa, Chordata, Actinopteri, Perciformes, Serranidae. The transcript has 12 exons.
UUGAUUGAUCUCCACUACACUCCCCGCUGACCAGAGAAAACACUCGAUAGCGAAUGCGAGAGGGGAUUUAAAUUGGACAAAUACUGUCCUCGCUACUUGACGGAUAAGGUGGCAAUUUUUUUUCUCAUGCGGUUUAAGGUAAUCCGUUAUUAGCACUGUUUCGCGACUAGCUAAACAUCGACGCGGUGCGACGUUAGCUAGCUUGUAAUGUCGGCACUGUUGGACUUGUUUUCCCCUCUAGACCCCGCUUCCUGUUAGCCUUGGGCUAGCAGAAAAAUCGAAAUUAUGCUAAUGAACGAGCGGGUAUAGUUAGCCAACGCAAAGGGGUGUAACUUUACUGCUCACAGCAGGCUACCCGUUGUAAUUUAGUUGCAAUUUAUCCACAAAUCUAUGCUAAUAACUUUGUUUCACAGCCAGCUAUCAGGGCAGCUGGUUUCCUUUAGUUUGCUAACGCUCGACAGCUAGCCAUCUUGCUUGUGUUGAGGGAUUUAAGUAUUUAACUCGACAAGCUUUUGGAGGCAGAGAGCGAAGGAUAUUAACUUCAGCUGCAUGUUAAUAUAUGCAUCAGCAUUUAGCUCACUCCUGUAGGACCCAGUUGCGUGCGACUAAUGCCUUAAAAAUACUUUAUUUUACUGUGGACAGCCCGACAGUGCUCCACUGUGAAAAGACAAUAGAGAACCCGAGACUUGCUCAGCUGUUGUUCUGGUAACGACCAAAACCACAGAUAACUAACUUAGAGACAAUUGUAUUUUGGAUACUGCUUUGUUAUACCACACGCUGAUAUAGGUACAAUAUAUUUUUAGAUACUUGUGCACGUUCAUACGUAGUGAAAUAAUUAAGGUGUCUCUGUGAAGUUGACCCGCUCAGAUAGACAGGGGGACGGUGGAUGGAGACUGUGCAGAUGGUGCUUGUGCGACAUAUGAGGACUGUGCUUCCCUGAACCCGCUGCUUUCAGGUAUCCCAUCUCAUUAUAUUAAACAACAGCUUUAAAUGCCUCAGAAAACACUCGCAGUAGCCGGUCGUCGUCAGAGGUAACUAGGUGGAUAGAGAGAAGCGGUCUGAAGAGGGAGGCUCCUGCCCGUUUCUGAACGUCCAUCUCUCCAGCCUACCUUCAUCACGUCCAUUCACCACCGCCCUCCCCAGCCAUGGACCCCCCGAGGACUCGGUCGCGGUCUCGGUCUGGUUUCUAUCAUUUCGGCAUGAGCGGUAACGUCGGGAGCAAUGGCAGUGGUAACGCGGUCGGCAACGGGAGCAUCAUGAACGCCAGCGGAGGAGGGGUGAGCUACCCGCAGCAGAGCAACCCCGGCUGGGCGCCGCACCACGGUGGUCGCAGCUACCCGGAGAGUCAGCAGCAGCACACCCAGGGGAGCUACCUGUCCGCGGGGGCGCAGCGCCACUCAUCGCACGGAGCUCACAGACACCCCGGGGCCGGCGGAGUGCUUCAUUUUCAUCCAGAUAAUGUGUGCAGCGAAGAUCGGGAUAAAAUGGAAGACAGCCCAAGCCCGAAAAGGCAGCGUCUUUCCCAGCAGACCAUGUUGGAUCUAAAUUCUGCCCCUCCCUCGACUCCUUCCUCUCCCAUUCGCCCCUGGGAGCUGCCUCCCAGUCGCAGACCACACCCCCACUACAUGCCAGAGAGAUGCCACACGCCUGUUCGCAACCGACGCAGCCCUCCAAUGAGACGACAGCGUGGCCGGAGAGACCGCCUGACCCGCCACCACCACCACGCCCACAACAACCACCACCACUACAACAGCAACAACAACAACCACCACCACCACCAUCACCACCCCAAUGCCCACCAUCACCACCACCACCACCUGCACUCCCACCACGGCCCGUCGCCAGGCCACCAGGAUGAGAACUACCGUCACCCAGCUCCGCCUCAGGGCUACUCACCCUACAGCCAGCAACCUCCCAGAGGGCUGGGGCCUGGGCUCGAAGAGCGCCCAGGUCACCAUCCCCCAAAUCCCUCCCCGAGGCCCCUGCACCAGUCACCGAACCUGUCUCCCAGGCUGCUGCACCCUGCGGCCCAUCCACAGCACCCACACCCUCACCCAUCCCAGCAGAGCAGUGUGGUGCUGGACCUCCAUGAGCAGGGUUCAGCUCCAGUAUCGUAUCCUGUGUCUCCUCCGGGAGCGCCACCUGGCCUGCCGCCUCGCUCCGCCCCUCAGCAGAUCCCAGCGUGCUCAGUAGUAUUCAGUGGACAGCACUAUCCCGUCUGCAGCGUCCCUCCUCCUGUCCUGCAGACUUGUUCUGUGCAGCACUUACCCAUGCCCUACCCGUUCCCGUCCCUGCUGUCCAGUGACCCAGCCUUCCUGCUUCCACCUCCUCACCUCCCCCAUCCCCCAACACACCUUUCCCACCACCCACCUCACCUGCCUCAGCCUGGACAGUUUGGACCUUAUCCAACGCAGCAGGCCCGCUCGCCGUUACAGAGGAUAGAGAACGACGUGGAGCUGCUCGGAGAACACCUGUCCUUGGGUGCUGGGCUCCACUAUCCUCCCGCCACCCACCCUGCCCUCACACCACACUCCACACAGCUUCACUUCCUCUCCCAUGACCCCCUGCCACAAGAGUUCUUCGGAGUGUCCUAUCCAAACUUUAUUCCUCGGCGUCUCCCGGGGCGACGGUACCGCUCACAACAGCCACUGCCACCUUCGCCUUACCACCCCAGCCUCCUGCCUUACUUCCUUUCAAUGCUGCCAGUCCAGCCCACCGGUCCUGCGAUCAGUCUGGAGCUGGAUGUCGACGAUGGAGAAGUGGAAAAUUACGAGGCCCUCCUGAACCUCGCCGAGCGUCUGGGAGAGGCCAAACUCCGAGGACUGACCAAGGGAGACAUCGAACAGCUUCCAUCCUAUCGGUUCAAUCCAAAUAACCAUCAGUCUGAGCAAACACUGAUCAGCAAAACUAUGGAUUUUUGUGGAUUUACUAUUUUACGGACAGAGGCUAAAUGUUGGAUAGUUAGAGUUUAUGCAGUUGUUUAGCACAUUUGUGGUUUUGCAAGCUACAGAAAGUUCAAAUCUACUUCAAAGCAUAUUUGGGGCGUCUAAAUGUCAUCUCUGCCUGUUGGGAUUGGGCUUUGUGAGAAAAUGUGCUAAUGCUGCAUUCACGUGCUCCUCCGAUGGUUCCAUUUUCCGAGAUGGGUGUCGUUCUUCCUACUUCGGUGUGUUCAUGAGCUUGUAAGUCACAAUAUAGAAACGACAUGGAUGCAGCAAAGGUGUGUUGUAUUUUAUUGUCCAGAGCACCAAACAACACAUUGAUGACAGUUUUGCACCAGUACAGUCCCCAUUCUUACAACUUAUUACCAUAUCAUCAGUUACAUGUGACCAAAAAUGGGUAUGCGGUAUAUGAAUUAAGAAAGUUCCUCACAAUCAACCAAACAUUUACUUCCGUCUGCCAUGUUUCUGCGUAUAUGUGGGGAACCAAUUUUUCAGAUUAUUCUAGCACCACAUGAAUGCAACACAUACUUCUAAAGAUAAACAUCCAAAAGCAAUUUAAGAUUAUCCUGCAGUUGGUCUGUGAAUAUUAGUAAGAGGACAAAUAUCCACUGUGACAAGAAGAAGGUGACAGUGGAAAUUACAGUCUUGCAGUCUUAACCCAUUAACCAGUUAACUUAAAUCUGCCCGAUACCCUGCGUGUCACAUAAGAAGUGUGUCAAACAACAGCUCUCGUGCAUUGCCACAGUUAAACAUGCUAAUACCUGUUUGGUGUUGCAGGUGUGUGGUGUGUAUGAGUGAUUUUGAGUCCCGCCAGCUGCUGCGAGUCCUGCCCUGCAGCCACGAGUUCCAUGGGAAGUGUGUUGACAAGUGGCUGAGGGCCAACAGGACGUGUCCCAUUUGUCGGGCCGACGCCUCAGAAGUCCAGAG